This 115-nucleotide ribosomal RNA is filed under the name Pteropus alecto (black flying fox). RNAcentral also lists the same sequence under 1 other name. The record is from RNAcentral. Lineage: Eukaryota; Metazoa; Chordata; Mammalia; Chiroptera; Pteropodidae.
GCCAAGGUCAUUCCACCCUGAACAAGCCCUAUGUCUGAUCUCAGAAGUUAAGCAGGGUCAGGCCUGGUUAGUACUUGGAUGGGAGACCACCUAGAAAGACCAGGUACUGUAGGCA